UAUUAUCUGGCUAAACUGAUUGCCUUACCCUAACAACUUAUUCCACAUACAGAACUAUACCUUAAACCCUACAAGCUAAUCCCUAAGCUCUUGAAGAAUCAAAAAGCCCAAAUCAGUAAACCAUAAACACUAAACCAUAUCCCUAAUUCCUAAACCCUAAACCCUAAACACUUAUAGGACUUGUAAACCCUUACCCUAAACUCUAAAGAAACCCUAAACCCUAACCCAUAAAAUCUAAAGCCUAACUCCUAAAUCCUAAACCCUUAACCCUUAUAGGACUCCGAAACCCUAAACGUAAACCUAGAAAAACCCUAAACCCUAACGCAUAUGGGGCUAAUCAUACAGUAUAUGAUGUCGUCCGAUUAUUAGCCGUCUAGAGUUUAACAUAGAUGUACAAUGUCGUUAUUAUAUGGAUAACUAUAGUGUUAGCUGGCUAAAUUAAUUUCUCAACCAUUACACCAAACCCUAAAACCAUAUGCCUAUAUCAUAACCCCCACUCCCUAUACCUUUAAAGUUCAACAUAGCUGUGCAACUAUGAUCCUUCCUAAUAAUCUAGUAUAUAAUA
RNAcentral lists this long non-coding RNA (565 nucleotides) under Brassica napus (rape). RNAcentral's name for it is "long non-coding RNA (BNAP_LNC017304)". The record is from RNAcentral. Lineage: Eukaryota; Viridiplantae; Streptophyta; Magnoliopsida; Brassicales; Brassicaceae.